AGGGGUGUCGCCAAGCGGUAAGGCAAGCGGCUCUGACCCGCUAACUGCGUUAGUUCGAAUCUAACCACCCCUGCCA
This 76-nucleotide transfer RNA is filed under the name Christensenellaceae bacterium. RNAcentral describes it as "tRNA-Gln". It matches the Rfam family "tRNA". From Rfam's summary of the family: Transfer RNA (tRNA) molecules are approximately 80 nucleotides in length. Their secondary structure includes four short double-helical elements and three loops (D, anti-codon, and T loops). The record is from RNAcentral. Lineage: Bacteria; Bacillati; Bacillota; Clostridia; Christensenellales; Christensenellaceae.